AUUGAACGCUGGCGGCAUGCCUUACACAUGCAAGUCGAACGGUAACGCGGGGCAACCUGGCGACGAGUGGCGAACGGGUGAGUAAUGCAUCGGAACGUGCCCAGUAGUGGGGGAUAGCCCGGCGAAAGCCGGAUUAAUACCGCAUACGACCUAUGGGUGAAAGCGGGGGAUCGAAAGACCUCGCGCUAUUGGAGCGGCCGAUGUCAGAUUAGGUUGUUGGUGGGGUAAAAGCCUACCAAGCCUGCGAUCUGUAGCUGGUCUGAGGGGACGACCAGCCACACUGGGACUGAGACACGGCCCAGACUCCUACGGGAGGCAGCAGUGGGGAAUGUUGGACAAUGGGCGCAAGCCUGAUCCAGCCAUGCCGCGUGCGGGAAGAAGGCCUUCGGGUUGUAAACCGCUUUUGUCGGGGAAGAAAUCUUCUGGGCUAAUACCUUGGGAGGAUGACGGUACCCGAAGAAUAAGCACCGGCUAACUACGUGCCAGCCGCCGCCGUAA
RNAcentral lists this ribosomal RNA (498 nucleotides) under uncultured bacterium. RNAcentral's name for it is "partial 16S ribosomal RNA". It matches the Rfam family "Bacterial small subunit ribosomal RNA", at positions 29 to 523 of the family's 1533-position model. The record is from RNAcentral.